Molecule: long non-coding RNA, 1691 nt
Organism: Microcebus murinus (gray mouse lemur)
Lineage: Eukaryota; Metazoa; Chordata; Mammalia; Primates; Cheirogaleidae
Source: Ensembl
AGGCGGCAAUCCUGUGAGCAACCAAUGGAGUUGGAUAGGAUUGGGAAGAAGAAAGACGAGUGGAUCCUGGAGACUCUCCGCCCCUGACGCGGACAGUUCCCGACACUGUCCCCAUCUCUGGCGUCCUGCAGUGGAAGUUUCCGUGCUAUUAGAUCCACCAGUCCGAGUGGUUUUUUUGCAUUGUCAUAGCUCCAUUUCCUGAUGAGUUGACAAUACAGAAACCUACUUUGUAUAAGGCCCGUUUUGAUGUAGGUCUGCUAUUGGCAAAGGACUUCCAGAAAGUAAAAUCUACACAGGGUAAGAAUCACUAUAUGUUUAAGAUCCAUCCAUGCAGCCAUGCACUCAGAGGCGAGCUGGUCCUAGUGCGUAGAAAACCCCGCUGCGGAGUCUUAGCUGUCUGCCACACCUCCAGACGUCCUUUGAGAUCCGGUGCAGAGCACAGAGGAGUCACAUCUCUGUCGCGUGCCUGCGAGUCUCUCGAUGCCCCGGAUGACUUCUGCCAAAGAGCAGCCGCGUGCCCUGUGAGCUCCCAAGGAGCACGAACUCAGUCUGCAAGUCCCACGGACGACCAGCCUGUGGUCUGCGUGUCUCAGAAGAGACUGUUUUUCUUUCUCUACUCAGAACCAAGCUUCCCUGGCCUCCCUGGGUUUGGGGGAAAUUUAUCAACAGUUCCCCCUUGUGCUGAGAUUCCUGAAUUUAGUGAAAAAAGCUGUCUUAGCGGGCGCUUUCUCUCGGGGACAGGGAAGGGGGACUGACGGUCACCUGUCCAGGUAGUCAGAGCCCUCAGCACGGUCUCUGGCGGCUGCCAAUCGAGCACUUGGCUUCUUUCCUAAAAUCCUGCUCACGUUUCCUCUUUGGUCCCUAAUGAUGUCUUCCUAACUUGCUAUGUGUUUACGAAUUUUAAAAGUUACGUUAAAUAUCUUUUUUUUUUUUUAGGAUUUUACUUAUAUUUAGCAGUAAAAUUAGUUGUCUACUUGAUCUCGCUUCACUAAUGUCAUCUGCCUACCUAUGGAAAAGGUUUACAGAUCUUUAGCGUUUUCAUCUAAAAGCUAAGCGUCUCCACGCCCGGCAGCAGUCUUCUGCUCUAAACCGCGAGAUGUCACCUUUCCAUCUUCGACGCUUUCUGUUUGUCACUCCCAGUGGCUUUUCUCUCACGGUGUCCUUCCGAUGACACUCAGCCCCGCAGGUGUGCACCUGCACCAGGCUGGCUCCCUCAUCCACCACAGCUGCAUGAAUCCUCCUCUGCCUCCUCUGGGGACCGGAGCCAGCCCCCCUCACUCCACGGAGCCCCCUCUGCCACUCAGAGCCACGCGGAACCCACAGCCCUGCAAUCAUCGCUGCCGCCGACUCAAGCGAUUGGCACAUUGACUGUCACCCUGGAGGGGAAAAAUGUGUUCCUUGGGGCAACGGUGUUUUAUUAGGAAAAUAGAAUCAAAACUUCAAAAACAAAACGAUCCUUUCUAAUUCAACGAAAUUUAUUGUUUUUUUAUCGUUUUCUGUGCGUGAGUUAUAUCCGCCGCAAUCCACGUUUUUUUAGAAUUACAUUGUCAGUAUUAAUUGUAACCAUAAGAACAUCGACAAGUAAGAUUUGCACCAACCAGCUUCAGGGUUUUGCUUCAGGAGGCCCCAGGCUCAAAACUGGCGUGAGUUAAAUACAACUCACGUGGCAGUCGAUGUGUUAAACUUCCUCC